RNAcentral lists this ribosomal RNA (439 nucleotides) under uncultured bacterium. RNAcentral's name for it is "partial 16S ribosomal RNA". It matches the Rfam family "Bacterial small subunit ribosomal RNA", at positions 338 to 795 of the family's 1533-position model. The record is from RNAcentral.
CCUACGGGUGGCAGCAGUGGGGGAUAUUGCACAAUGGGGGGAACCCUGAUGCAGCGACGCCGCGUGGGUGAAGGAGUGCUUCGGCAUGUAAAGCCCUAUCGGCAGGGAAGAAGCAAGACGGUACCUGACUAAGAAGCCCCGACUAACUACGUGCCAGCAGCGGCGGUAAUACGUAGGGGGCGAGCGUUAUCCGGAUUCACUGGGUGUAGGGAGCGUAGACGGCCGUGCAAGCCAGGGGUGAAAGCCCGGGGCCAACCCCGGGGACUGCCCUCGGAACUGCAUGGCUGGAGUGCGGGAGGGGCAGGCGGAAUGCCUGGUGUAGCGGUGAAAUGCAUAGAUAUCAGGAGGAACACCGGCUGCGAAGGCGGCCUGCGGGACCGCGACUGACGUUGAGGCUCGAAAGCGUGGGGAGCGAACAGGAUUAGAUACCCCAGUAGUC